RNAcentral lists this transfer RNA (27 nucleotides) under Poa ammophila. RNAcentral describes it as "partial tRNA-Phe". Lineage: Eukaryota; Viridiplantae; Streptophyta; Magnoliopsida; Poales; Poaceae. The record is from RNAcentral.
GUCAGGAUAGCUCAGUUGGUAGAGCAG